RNAcentral lists this ribosomal RNA (253 nucleotides) under uncultured bacterium. Its description in RNAcentral is "partial 16S ribosomal RNA". It matches the Rfam family "Bacterial small subunit ribosomal RNA", at positions 524 to 776 of the family's 1533-position model. RNAcentral also lists the same sequence under 1 other name. The record is from RNAcentral.
UACGUAGGUGGCAAGCGUUAUCCGGAAUUACUGGGCGUAAAGCGCACGCAGGCGGUCUGUUAAGUUUGACGUGAAAGCUCCCGGCUUAACUGGGAGAGGUCGUUGAAGACUGGCAGACUUGAGGCGAUGAGAGGGGUGUAGAAUUCCCGGUGUAGUGGUGGAAUGCGUAGAUAUCGGGGGGAAUACCAGUGGCGAAAGCGGCACCCUAGCGUUAGCCUGACGCUCAUGUGCGAAAGCGUGGGGAGCGAACGGG